CCUACGGGGGGCUGCAGUGGGGAAUAUUGCACAAUGGGCGAAAGCCUGAUGCAGCAACGCCGCGUGCGGGAUGAAGGCCUUCGGGUUGUAAACCGCUUUCACCAGGGACGAAUGUGACGGUACCUGGAGAAGAAGCACCGGCUAACUACGUGCCAGCAGCCGCGGUGAUACGGAGGGUGCGAGCGUUGUCCGGAUUUAUUGGGCGUAAAGAGCUCGUAGGCGGUUUGUUGCGUCGGAAGUGAAAACCCAGGGCUUACCUUUGGGCUUGCUUUCGAUACGGGCAGACUUGAGGAAGGUAGGGGAGAACGGAAUUCCUGGUGGAGCGGUGGAAUGCGCAGAUAUCAGGAGGAACACCGGUGGCGAAGGCGGUUCUCUGGACCUUUCCUGACGCUGAGGAGCGAAAGCGUGGGGAGCAAACAGGCUUAGAUACCCGUGUAGUC
Molecule: ribosomal RNA, 440 nt
Filed under: uncultured bacterium
Lineage: Bacteria
Description: partial 16S ribosomal RNA
Rfam family: Bacterial small subunit ribosomal RNA
Source: RNAcentral